Molecule: long non-coding RNA, 1636 nt
Organism: Dromaius novaehollandiae (emu)
Lineage: Eukaryota; Metazoa; Chordata; Aves; Casuariiformes; Dromaiidae
Source: Ensembl
CAGGGCCGCCCCCUCGCAGCAGCUCCCGGAACUGGGCACUUUCCGCCUUGUUUUUCGCCUGUUUUGGGGUUGUUACUUUUCUUUUCCAGUGCAGAAAAAAAACAGGCAGCAGUGGGUAAAUCCUUCCCCCCCCCCGCAGGCCGUCUGCGAGCUGCGACCCGUCUGUGGGAGCCCCGGGAACGGACGCACCUUCCUCCCCGGCCUGCAAGGGUCUCCACAGACUCAAAUCCCAGGACAGGAUCACUGCAUCUUCUGACGUCUUGUUUGAAGCUGCCAAGGAGAUGUGGACAGAAUUGCGGCGAGCGCACAGUGUGUAUAUUUCCCUCUGGGUAACCAUCAUGGUUGAUGAGGCUGAGGUUUGAGAAAUGUAUCUGGAUAAGCUCUAUGGCACGAUGGCCCUUACUCCUCAGAAAGAUUUUCUCCAGCUGAAUUGGCAACACCUCUGUCCUGUCUUCUUUGAAGUAAAUCAUUCAAGGGCAUCAUACAACUGGCGAAGAAGGUGCUAAAUGGCGAGCAAACAAGAAGAUCAUGCAACGCGUCUAGUUUGGGUGUCUGCCUUAGUCUUCUGGAAACUGCUGUGUUGCCCUUGUAUUUUUCUCCACACGUGAAACGGUGCUUGCACGAGUGGCCAAGUCGCACCCUCUGCUCCCUCCUCCCCUGCCCCGCAAAAAAGAAAAGAGGUUUUGUUUUUAAACUUCUUGAAAGCCUUUUGAGAAGUAUUAGCUCCAUAGGUGCUCUGUGUCCAUAAGAAGCAGUGAGCGGCAUCCCUCCUUUUCAGAUAGGUUGGAAUUGAUGCACUGAUCGGGCACGGGUUCGAGAAAGAAACUGCCCCGUCCUUCUGCAUCAUCUGUGGCUGAGACAUGCUGAGCCUUUACCUUUCUCUGAUUCUUGACAGUGCCUACAAAUGCGUCCAAACAAGAAGAAAUACACCAUGCCAAGGUAUAUGCAUUUUUUCAAAAGAAUCAAGGUCUCCGCAGACCUAAAUCCCAGGACAGAAUCGCUGCCUCUUCUGACAGCUUGUUUGAAGCUGCCGAGGAGCUGGGGACGGCAUUGCAGAGAGUGCAUGAGAASGAGUAUUACCUCAUACUGAUGCUGCUUAUGAAAGGCAAGACACAGCUGCUGAAGGAGGCAGCGUGAGUUCAGGAAGAGAAACAAAAGAGGGUGAAUUUGCCACAGAAGAGGAGAACAGCAACAGCAGCUACAGUCCAGUACAAGUGAAUUUACUCAUAGAGAUGACUCUGUCACCUGGUGCUGAUAAUUCAGAUAGUUCAGCUCAGCCUAGACUCUGGGGCGACUCAGAUCCUGGUGAUGACUCUUUGUCCAAUACAUGCAUUUGUUCACAUUCAUCAGAAGAGGAGGAGAAUUGGUGCAGAACAUCUGGAUCUGAUGAGUCCGAGUGUGUAUAUCCUCAGUAACAGUGGAUAUAUGCACAAUGGAUUCCUCUUCUGAGUAGACCAUGAAGAAUGCUCAGUGGAGCAGAAGGUCUCCUCUUGUUUGAUCAUGGAUAGCCAGGAAAGUUUAGCUGCCGUCAUUUGACACAGCGUGAUCAUGACUUCAUCCAGUGAGUGCUGAAGGUCAGGUUCUCUUCUGCAAGCGUGGUAAUAAAGUAAUAAAGCCAUUUUGAACCUGGGACUGC